AUAAAGAUAAGCUAAACAAGCUAAAGGGUUCAUACCCCUUAUAUAAGAGUCCAACCUCUUUCUUUUUA
RNAcentral lists this transfer RNA (68 nucleotides) under Folsomotoma octooculata. RNAcentral describes it as "tRNA-Met". The record is from RNAcentral. Lineage: Eukaryota; Metazoa; Arthropoda; Collembola; Entomobryomorpha; Isotomidae.